RNAcentral lists this ribosomal RNA (504 nucleotides) under uncultured bacterium. RNAcentral's name for it is "partial 16S ribosomal RNA". It matches the Rfam family "Bacterial small subunit ribosomal RNA", at positions 28 to 507 of the family's 1533-position model. The record is from RNAcentral.
AACGAACGCUGGCAGCGUGGAUUAGGCAUGCAAGUCGAACGGGAUCCGGAAGGUAGCAAUACCGGCCGGUGAGAGUGGCGGGAGGGCGAGGAGCACGUGGACAACCUGUCCCGUGGGUGGGGAUACCGUCCCGAAAGGGGCGUUAAUACCGAAUGGGGCCCCGGCCCGCAUGGUCCGGCGGCCAAAGGCCGGGACCGCAAGGCCCGCCCCCCCGGGAGGGGUCCGCGCACCAUCAGCUAGACGGCGGGGUAACGGGCCACCGUGGCUUACGGUUAGCCGGUCUGAGAGGAGGAUCAGCCGCACUGGAACGGAGACACUGCCCAGACGCCUACGGGAGGCUGCAGUCGGGGAUCAUUCGCAAUGGGCGAAAGCCUGACGAUGCGACGCUGCGUGGAGGAUGAAGGCCCUCGGGUCGUAAACUCCUGUCAUGGGGGGCGAGGCGGAGGCGGUUAACGGCCGCCCGAGUUGACGGUACCCCAAGAGGAAGCCACGGCUAACUCUGUG